RNAcentral lists this ribosomal RNA (253 nucleotides) under uncultured bacterium. RNAcentral's name for it is "partial 16S ribosomal RNA". It matches the Rfam family "Bacterial small subunit ribosomal RNA", at positions 524 to 776 of the family's 1533-position model. The record is from RNAcentral.
UACAGAGGUCUCAAGCGUUGUUCGGAUUCAUUGGGCGUAAAGGGUGCGUAGGCGGCGCGGUAAGUCGGGUGUGAAAUCUCGGAGCUUAACUCCGAAACUGCAUUCGAUACUGCCGUGCUUGAGGACUGGAGAGGAGACUGGAAUUUACGGUGUAGCGGUGAAAUGCGUAGAUAUCGAGAGGAACACCAGUGGCGAAGGCGAGUCUCUGGACAUUUCCUGACGCUGAGGCACGAAAGCCAGGGGAGCAAACGGG